Ipomoea nil (Japanese morning glory) is the source of this 157-nucleotide long non-coding RNA. RefSeq lists it as uncharacterized. The record is from RefSeq and is a predicted model, not a curated record. NCBI's taxonomy places the organism in Eukaryota, Viridiplantae, Streptophyta, Magnoliopsida, Solanales, Convolvulaceae. The transcript has 3 exons.
CAAACAACUAGAUACUGGAAGGGGCACUCUACUCCACUUGUGUGAUGACGUGAUUCAACAAGAAGUAAAGGAGGUUAUAAUCUCAUUCUUCAUAUUGAUGGAGCAGGGGAAAUCUACCUUGCAGGAUCUUGAUCUACGCUGUGAAGAACUAAUAAAA